UGUUUGGAGAGUUUGAUCCUGGCUCAGGACGAACGCUGGCGGCGUGCUUAACACAUGCAAGUCGAGCGGAAAGGCCCUUCGGGGUACUCGAGCGGCGAACGGGUGAGUAACACGUGAGUAACCUGCCCCUGACUCUGGGAUAAGCCUGGGAAACCGGGUCUAAUACCGGAUACGACCUCUUCCCGCAUGGGAUGGGGGUGGAAAGUUGUUUCGGUUGGGGAUGGGCUCGCGGCCUAUCAGCUUGUUGGUGGGGUAGUGGCCUACCAAGGCGACGA
This 275-nucleotide ribosomal RNA is filed under the name Streptosporangium saharense. RNAcentral describes it as "Bacterial small subunit ribosomal RNA". It matches the Rfam family "Bacterial small subunit ribosomal RNA", at positions 1 to 279 of the family's 1533-position model. Lineage: Bacteria; Bacillati; Actinomycetota; Actinomycetes; Streptosporangiales; Streptosporangiaceae. The record is from Rfam by way of RNAcentral.